GGUCUGGCCGGAUGGUCUGCCUAACGGUAUGUACUGUCUGGCCGGGCCUUACUUCUUGGUGAGCCGGAAUGCCCUUCGCUGGGUGUGUCGGGGAACCAGGACUUUUACCUUGAAAAAAUUAGAGUGUUCAAAGCAGGCGUAACCUUGCCAUUGAAUAUUACAGCAUGGGAUAAUAGAAUA
RNAcentral lists this ribosomal RNA (180 nucleotides) under uncultured Glomeromycotina. RNAcentral describes it as "partial small subunit ribosomal RNA". The record is from RNAcentral. Lineage: Eukaryota; Fungi; Glomeromycota.